AUUGAACGCUGGCGGCAGGCCUAACACAUGCAAGUCGAGCGGAUGAAGGGAGCUUGCUCCUGGAUUCAGCGGCGGACGGGUGAGUAAUGCCUAGGAAUCUGCCUGGUAGUGGGGGAUAACGUCCGGAAACGGGCGCUAAUACCGCAUACGUCCUGAGGGAGAAAGUGGGGGAUCUUCGGACCUCACGCUAUCAGAUGAGCCUAGGUCGGAUUAGCUAGUUGGUGGGGUAAAGGCCUACCAAGGCGACGAUCCGUAACUGGUCUGAGAGGAUGAUCAGUCACACUGGAACUGAGACACGGUCCAGACUCCUACGGGAGGCAGCAGUGGGGAAUAUUGGACAAUGGGCGAGAGCCUGAUACAGCCAUGCCGCGUGUGUGAAGAAGGUCUUCGGAUUGUAAAGCACUUUAAGUUGGGAGGAAGGGCAGUAAGUUAAUACCUUGCUGUUUUGACGUUACCAACAGAAUAAGCACCGGCUAACUUCGUG
This 484-nucleotide ribosomal RNA is filed under the name uncultured bacterium. RNAcentral's name for it is "partial 16S ribosomal RNA". It matches the Rfam family "Bacterial small subunit ribosomal RNA", at positions 30 to 507 of the family's 1533-position model. The record is from RNAcentral.